CGCUGGCGGCGUGCUUAACACAUGCAAGUCGAACGAGAAGAGAUGAGAAGCUUGCUUCUUAUUGAUUCGAGUGGCAAACGGGUGAGUAACGCGUAAGCAACCUGCCCUUCAGAUGGGGACAACAGCUGGAAACGGCUGCUAAUACCGAAUACGUUCUUUUUGUCGCAUGGCAGAGAGAAGAAAGGGAGGCUCUUCGGAGCUUUCGCUGAAGGAGGGGCUUGCGUCUGAUUAGCUAGUUGGAGGGGUAACGGCCCACCAAGGCGACGAUCAGUAGCCGGUCUGAGAGGAUGAACGGCCACAUUGGGACUGAGACACGGCCCAGACUCCUACGGGAGGCAGCAGUGGGGAAUCUUCCGCAAUGGACGAAAGUCUGACGGAGCAACGCCGCGUGAACGAUGACGGCCUUCGGGUUGUAAAGUUCUGUUAUACGGGACGAAUGGCGUAGCGGUCAAUACCCGUUACGAGUGACGGUACCGUAAGAGAAAGCCACGGCUAACUACGUG
RNAcentral lists this ribosomal RNA (503 nucleotides) under uncultured bacterium. RNAcentral describes it as "bacterial SSU rRNA". It matches the Rfam family "Bacterial small subunit ribosomal RNA", at positions 34 to 507 of the family's 1533-position model. The record is from RNAcentral.